Long non-coding RNA from Nicotiana attenuata, 1193 nucleotides. RefSeq lists it as uncharacterized. NCBI's taxonomy places the organism in Eukaryota, Viridiplantae, Streptophyta, Magnoliopsida, Solanales, Solanaceae. The record is from RefSeq and is a predicted model, not a curated record. The transcript has 2 exons.
CAAAAUCACAACAAUAUAGAGAAAAAAAUGCAGUAGCGUAAUUAAAAGUCAGGGAAGCAAUAACAACAGCAAAAUAAUAGAGCAACUAAAACACGAGCAAUAUCAGAUAGGAAUAUGAAAAUACUAGAUUAACAUUUAAUAAAUUCGAUUUUAUUGGAGAAAUUUCUGACGUGGUUGAAAUUUGUGAUUUGCUCCGUUAGUUAUGGUGGCUUUUUGUGUGGUUGAUGAAGAGCUUGCUGGGUUUGGAAUUGUGGGCCAAAUAAAUCUGGUAUUUGAUUACAAUUUCACAAAGUGAAGAGGAAAAGUUCGUAGCACAUAGACACAUCAUAUGCAUAUUGCAUCAUUAAUAGCAAAAGGGCAAUCAAAGCUCAACCACCCAUUAUAUUAGCUUUGAAACACCUUUUUGGUUCCAAAGUUUUAGAAUAUACUUUUGAUUUUGUUCCUUAAACAAAUGGAAAUUAGUUAUGUGCAGUUUAGUUGGAUUGUGUUGGUGCAUGUGCUGGUUUCACUGGUUUCUUAGUGCAGUCAAAAAGCAGUUGAAUUUUCAAAUGUAACAUGGAAGAGUCAAUGCCAGAUAGGUGCUAUGUAAACUAACAAUUAGUCUACUGAAGAAAUGAAUAACUUUGCCAAAGAGAGCUAUGUUGCUUAAGGCCACUGCUUUGGAUAAGUUCUCUUUUACUAGUUUAUUUCAUAUCUUAUUAAUUAAUUGUUGCUUCAGUUACUAAGCAUCACUAUUCAUUGCACCACCACUGAAAUGUGGCGAUUAUUCUAAAGGAUGCAUCAAGUUUGAAAAAAUUCCAGGCCGAAUAAUAAGCGUCACCAAAACAAACACUACUACCAGUCAACUUCAAGGUCAGCAGUGAGAUCGUUGAACAUUGCUGUGAGAGGCGUAAUACGGCCAGGCCUGGACAUUGUGCAUCUCAAUUAAUUCCCUCACAAGCUGAUUGUCCUGCUCAGACAAAUUAGUACUAACGAAGUUUGAAUUUUGUCUAUAGGGCGUCAAAUUUUGAGCCACAGCAAAGAGAAUGGGAAAUCUACUCUUCUCUAGCUUUGUCUGUGCAGUUCUUCCUCCAGUGUAGCGGAAAUACUGUGGGAUAUUCUGACGCAUUAACAGCCCUGUAAGUAUCACUAAGAUUGAGUGCCUCUUGUCCAACAUUUAAUACAGGAGAUGCUGUCAAAAUUAAUGUCUCAUA